UCUUCACUAGUAUAUUGGCUAGUAUAUAUCCCUCUCAUUAGAGAGUUGCUCCUUACGGAGUUCGAACGGAUAAGAGCAGGGUUCGAUUCCCUGGUGGAGAA
This is a non-coding RNA of Dioszegia hungarica, 101 nucleotides long. The record is from the annotation of a RefSeq genome assembly. Lineage: Eukaryota; Fungi; Basidiomycota; Tremellomycetes; Tremellales; Bulleribasidiaceae.